Molecule: ribosomal RNA, 448 nt
Filed under: uncultured bacterium
Lineage: Bacteria
Description: SSU rRNA
Rfam family: Bacterial small subunit ribosomal RNA
Source: RNAcentral
AGAGCGAACGCUGGCGGCAGGCCUAACACAUGCAAGUCGAGCGCCCGUAGCAAUACGGGAGCGGCAGACGGGAGAGUAACACGUGGGAACGCGCCCUUCGGUUCGGAAUAACUCAGGGAAACUUGAGCUAAUACCGGAUACGCCCUUACGGGGAAAGAUUUAUUGCCGAAGGAACGGCCCGCGUCCGAUUAGCUAGUUGGUGAGGUAAUGGCUCACCAAGGCGACGAUCGGUAGCUGGUCUGAGAGGAUGACCAGCCUCACUGGGACUGAGACACGGCCCAGACUCCUACGGGAGGCAGCAGUGGGGAAUAUUGGACAAUGGGCGCAAGCCUGAUCCAGCCAUGCCGCGUGGAUGAUGAAGGCCUUAGGGUUGUAAAGUCCUUUUAACGGGGAAUAUAAUGACGGUACCCGUAGAAUAAGCCCCGGCUAACUUCGCGCCAGCAGCCGC